Molecule: long non-coding RNA, 1134 nt
Filed under: Phoenix dactylifera (date palm)
Lineage: Eukaryota; Viridiplantae; Streptophyta; Magnoliopsida; Arecales; Arecaceae
Description: long non-coding RNA (PDAC_LNC009661)
Source: RNAcentral
GACUGUGCAAGCUGAGACGCUGGCGAUUUCAUGGGAUCAAGCCGGAAGAGAAGCUGGGAUUUGAGUUUAUCCCAUGGAUAUGCAGAUGCUGGGAGGAAAACGGAUGAAGGUGCUUAGAUAUGGCUCGGUUCGAUGUUUGAUUUCCUUCGGCUGGGAAGAAUCCGUCGCUGGUGGACGUGGAAGAAGCCUGGUCGCGGAGAAACAGGGGAUUCUAAUAAGGAAGCAAGGCCGGGAGGAAUCCGUGGAUUUGUUGAGAUGCUGCCGUUGGCUGAGAGCUUAUCCGGAAGAUGUUGGGAUGAAGCUAGAUCCUACGCGAACAGUGAAGUGAUGCUGGAUUCGAACUGAAGCAGGGGAUGUUUGGAUGAUUCGGCUGGGAGGAGAUUUUUGGAAUGCAGAAGGGAGAGAGGAAGAUGAGAAGAAAGCCGUUAGGAGGAAUGAAAUCCUGAGGUUUGCUUGGAUAAAGAUGGAUCACGUCCGUGGAUGGGAGAUGAUCCAGAAGAAGCGGGAUGCUGGGAGAUCCGGGAUGCUGGGAGAUCCGGGAUGCAGAGGAGAUGAAGAUGGAGAAGAUACGUGGGGUGCUGGGACGCGUUCACGGACGGAAGGAACGUGGGUUCUGUUUUUAGGCAGGGGGAAAUGAUCCGGAAUGCUGGGAGAUCAUUGCAUGGACUCAUGCGGAUGAAGGGAAACAGAUGUGAUUGAUCGAGUUGUUGGGAACUACUGGAACUUGGCUGGGAUUUUAGUUGAACAAGAUGUGGGGAGUGGAUGGAGCUUUGGGAUUCGUGCAAAUAUGAUGGUAUGCUUUGAGAUCUGAGAGACAAAUAAUUGAAAGAAUUUUAUUGUUUUUGAGAUUAAAAUAGGAGAAUUGGAUCAUGUGGAAAAAGAGUUGGAACGAGUGGGAAGAAAUUUAGGUGAACGUGUGAAGAGUCAGGAAUUAAUGGAAAGCAUUGGGUUUUGGAGAAAAGUUCUUGGAGUCGACUCUGGAGGAUGUAAAAUUGUGAAAUGAUGCAGUGUAGUUUAGGCUUUACCUAAUUAAGCGUGACUUGACCUGCAUACAUUAAGCUCAAUCAGUAAAUAAGUAAAACUCGAAUUACCUUUAAUAAUUUAUUAAAAUGCAAUGAUGAAGGUAACACAAUU